Rattus norvegicus (Norway rat) is the source of this 1157-nucleotide non-coding RNA. NCBI's taxonomy places the organism in Eukaryota, Metazoa, Chordata, Mammalia, Rodentia, Muridae. The record is from RefSeq and is a predicted model, not a curated record.
UCCCUUGAAGGGGCUUAUUUAAGGCAAAACAAGGCCUCCCAUCAUUCCUGUGAGAGAUCAUUGUCCCCCUUGUUGCCACAGCGCCCUGUGAGGCUGUGGGAAACAAAUGACCUCAGAGGCACUCAGUGUGUGUCACUGCAAAAGAAAAGAGAAUCUAGGGGGCUGGAGGGUGGGGGGAUGGGGGCUGCUGGCUAGCAGAGCCCUCCACAGCCCUGCGUCCUCCAAUGAUAUCCCUCUAGGCACAGCAGGGAGGAAGCUUGUGGGCCCGGAGUCUCCAUCCUGCUUGUAACGAGAUUAGGCUACACUCCUCAGCAGCUCAGCGUCCUUCUGGACGUCCUGCUGCUCACCCUGGUCACUCUGGUCUCUAAUUGGUCCUCCCCACAAAAUGCCUGGUGGUUGCCUGUGUCAUGCACUCUGAUUCACUGAGUCCUGAGUCAGGCUAAGACUCUUCUGAGGCCAGGGAGAGCAGUUGUGAGCUAUAGGAGAGGAUGAGAGGGUUGAUGGGGGACCAGGUAGGGAAUCAUAAACAAGGGGAACCCAGGGACCAAGAAGAUGGGGAUGGGGAGAGAGAGGAUGAAGACGGACAAGAAAGGAUGACAGCAAAGCUAAGGAAGGAGAGCCCUGGACCAGCCAUUCACAACACCCAUGGAUCCCAGGAGGAAGGUGAUAUCGUCCGGGUGCUCUGGAUCCUUCAAGGAAGAAUUUAGAAAUAGAUGAGAUGACUUGGAAAUCUUUCUCUUCAGCUCACAAAAUGUUAAGAAGGAAAAGAAAGCUAAACUGGAGCAAGUAAGAGAUGCGUAGGUUUAUUCUCCUGACUCCAUUUCAAUUCUGAGGGAUAAAGCAUGUCGUUGGUCUCUCUGCUAACCAGAGAGGGCCUCAACUUAGAAACACAAGGACAGCACAUCUUACCUUCAAUCUGUGGUGUGAGCUCCUUCACCAGAGGAACUUAACUCUUUCAACAUGUGGAUGCAGAGGCUGCCGCUUGGUGCUGUCCCCAGGGUUCUCAGUGGGGAAGACUUGUACACCACAUAUUGAGAGAAAGUAGUUCAGUCUUCUUGGGUUUUCCUGAACUAAUGAUCUCAUGUCAAGGCUGCACUCUUAAAACGAAUUGUAUUUUGAUUAAUGACUAAAAAAUAAAUGAGCAAAGUGUGUUUAUG